UACGUAGGGACCGAGCGUUGUCCGGAAUCAUUGGGCGUAAAGAGCGUGUAGGCGGCCAAGUAGGUCCGGUGUGAAAACUCGAGGCUUAACCUCGAGAUGUCGGCGGAAACCAUCUGGCUAGAGUCCGGAAGAGGAGAGUGGAAUUCCUGGUGUAGCGGUGAAAUGCGCAGAUAUCAGGAAGAACACCCGUGGCGAAGGCGGCUCUCUGGGACGGUACUGACGCUGAGACGCGAAAGCGUGGGGAGCGAACAGG
RNAcentral lists this ribosomal RNA (253 nucleotides) under uncultured bacterium. RNAcentral describes it as "partial 16S ribosomal RNA". It matches the Rfam family "Bacterial small subunit ribosomal RNA", at positions 524 to 776 of the family's 1533-position model. The record is from RNAcentral.